This 766-nucleotide ribosomal RNA is filed under the name uncultured bacterium. Its description in RNAcentral is "bacterial SSU rRNA". It matches the Rfam family "Bacterial small subunit ribosomal RNA", at positions 62 to 859 of the family's 1533-position model. The record is from RNAcentral.
UCGAACGAGAAAGUGGAGCAAUCCAUGAGUAAAGUGGCGACCGGGUGAGUAACACGUGACUAACCUACCCUCGAGUGUGGAAUAACAUCGGGAAACCGAUGCUAAUACCGCAUAACAUCGCAAGAUCAAAGGAGCAAUCCGCUCGAGGAGGGGGUCGCGGCUGAUUAGCUAGUUGGCGGGGUAACGGCCCACCAAGGCGAAGAUCGGUAGCCGGCCUGAGAGGGCGCACGGCCACACUGGAACUGAAACACGGUCCAGACUCCUACGGGAGGCAGCAGUGGGGAAUUUUGCGCAAUGGGGGAAACCCUGACGCAGCAACGCCGCGUGGAGGAUGAAGCCCCUUGGGGCGUAAACUCCUUUCGACCAAGACGAUAAUGACGGUACUGGUGGAAGAAGCACCGGCUAACUCUGUGCCAGCAGCCGCGGUAAUACAGAGGGCGCAAGCGUUGUUCGGAAUUAUUGGGCGUAAAGGGCGCGUAGGCGGUUUGACAAGUCUGAUGUGAAAUCUCUGGGCUCAACCCAGAAUCUGCAUUAGAAACUGUCGGGCUUGAGUAUGGGAGAGGUGAGUGGAAUUUCCGGUGUAGCGGUGAAAUGCGUAGAUAUCGGAAGGAACACCUGUGGCGAAAGCGGCUCACUGGACCAUAACUGACGCUGAGGCGCGAAAGCUAGGGGAGCAAACAGGAUUAGAUACCCUGGUAGUCCUAGCCCUAAACGAUGAUUGCUUGAUGUGACAGGUACCCAAUCCUGUCGUGUCGAAGCUAACGCG